UUUGAAAUCUGGCUCUUUCAGGGUCCGAGUUGUAAUUUGCAGAGGGUGCUUUGGUGUUGGCGGCGGUCUAAGUUCCUUGGAACAGGACAUCGCAGAGGGUGAGAAUCCCGUAUGUGGUCGCCUGCCUUCGCCGUGUAAAGCCCCUUCGACGAGUCGAGUUGUUUGGGAAUGCAGCUCUAAAUGGGAGGUAAAUUUCUUCUAAAGCUAAAUACCGGCCAGAGACCGAUAGCGCACAAGUAGAGUGAUCGAAAGAUGAAAAGCACUUUGGAAAGAGAGUCAAACAGCACGUGAAAUUGUUAAAAGGGAAGCGCUUGCAGCCAGACUUGCCUGUAGUUGCUCACCUGGGCUUUUGCCCGGGGCACUCUUCUGCAGGCAGGCCAGCAUCAGUUUGGGCGGUAGGAUAAAGGCCUCUGACACGUAUCUCCCUUCGGGGUUAACAUAUAGGGGAGGCGCAAUGCUACCAGCCCGGACUGAGGUCCGCGCAUCUGCUAGGAUGCUGGCGUAAUGGCUGUAAGCGGCCCGUCUUGAAACACGGACCAAGGAGUCUAACAUCUAUGCGAGUGUUUGGGUGUCAAGCCCGAGCGCGUAAUGAAAGUGAACGGAGGUGGGAACCCCUCGGGGCGCACCAUCGACCGAUCCUGAUGUCUUCGGAUGGAUUUGAGUAAGAGCAUAGCUGUUGGGACCCGAAAGAUGGUGAACUAUGCUUGAAUAGGGUGAAGCCAGAGGAAACUCUGGUGGAGGCUCGCAGCGGUUCUGACGUGCAAAUCGAUCGUCAAAUUUGGGCAUAGGGGCGAAAGACUAAUCGAACUAUCUAGUAGCUGGUUCCUGCCGAAGUUCCCUC
This 841-nucleotide ribosomal RNA is filed under the name Periconia aquatica. RNAcentral describes it as "LSU rRNA". It matches the Rfam family "Eukaryotic large subunit ribosomal RNA", at positions 114 to 974 of the family's 3401-position model. Lineage: Eukaryota; Fungi; Ascomycota; Dothideomycetes; Pleosporales; Periconiaceae. The record is from RNAcentral.